Molecule: long non-coding RNA, 1945 nt
Organism: Equus caballus (horse)
Lineage: Eukaryota; Metazoa; Chordata; Mammalia; Perissodactyla; Equidae
Source: Ensembl
CCGCAGUACAUAGCUGUAUGUUCUAGUUGUGAGUGCCUCUGGUUGUGGCAUGUGGGAUGCCGCCUCACUGUGGCCUGAUGAGCGGUGCCAUGUCCGCACCCAGGAUCCGAACCGGCGAACCCUGGGCCUCCGUCCGAAGUGGAGUGCACGAACUUAACCACUCGGCCCUGGGGCCGGCUCUGAAAUCCAGAAUUGAGAAGGAAACAAGAACAACGGCAGGAGAUGCUCCCUUCCUCUGCUUGAAGUCUCGGCUUAACAUCGCUCUGUGAGAUUAUCAGUGGACCUGAAAAUGGGAAGAGUCCGUCCUUUGAUUUGCCAAAAUGUAUCACCAAGAACUAACACACAAAGCUUAAAGCUUAACAGCAUACGUUUGUAGUCACGUAGACUUGAGUUCAAAUUGUGGCUCUGCCAUCACUGGCUCCUUGACCUUAGAAAAGCCAAUAACCUCUCUGUGGUCUACAAAAUGGGGAUUACCACUCCACCCACCUUAUAGGGCUGUAAUGAAGACGAAACACAAUAACACGUCACAGUGGUUAACGCAGUACCCGACUCAACGCAAACAGCUGGAACCAGAGCAGACUUAAAAGCAGAGUUAAACUCAACACUCCUUGCUAAGGAAACCCGAUCAUGAUUCUCAGCCGAGGCCAUCUCCAGCAUCCUGUCUGGGACCGGGCAGAGGGUUAGCUGAGAGAUGCUGGGAAGUCCGCUUUGGCUGGUGGUUCCAACAACACUUCUAGUCCUGAGACAAAAACCAGGAGAGUACAGUUGUUCCUGAUUGGUGGUAAGAUAACACUCAAAUUGAAAACGAUGAUUCGUCAGCUUUAUGGAGAGAACACAGGCUCACACCUCCCAAUAUGUCUCAGUCUGCAAUUAAUUGUCAAUGUGCCAUUAGAAGCCAGCCUCACAGUUAUUAAACAAAGCAAAGAUGGUGAAAACAAAACAAGUUUAUGAUCUACAACAAAGAAAAAGAGCCAAUAGAAUCGGGGACAAUACUCCAUGUGAAAAAAUAUUGUCCAACUGGAAGAGAGGAAGCAACUGAUUAUUAUGCAAAAAAAAGAGGCAACUACAAAAAAGAAUGGGGAGAGGAGGAAAAGGCACACGGAUUGAAACAAUCGUGGUCAGAAAGAGCAGGAGCUGAUGUCAUACUUGGCACUCGCUGAAGUAAUACUCAUUCCUCUGAGGGAUGGUUGAAUACGUUAAGGAAAAAUAAAAAAUAUACUAUUUGCAACCAUACCAGACUUGAUCAGGAAUGAACUCCAGAGACAUCUAUGCAUGUGGAAGAAGAUAGACACCAACCAGUUUGCGUCACAACCUGGCUGUCACGUCCCACUUACCGAAGAACUUACCACUGACGGUUUGAAAGAAAAUGCAUAUUUGUUUUUAUCAAAUAAACUCAGGAAAAUAGUACUAAAAAAUCUAUGAGUUUCAAAAGAGGUUUGGCUAAGUGCUUACAACGUCCACUGCAGUGUUUGAAGCAGCUGCCCUCCUUAGCAAAGUUGCCUGGGAACUGACCAGCCCAAAGAAGGCCUGGACCACCGUAUUUCAGUCAAAGUGUUCAGGAGCAGAAGCAAGAGAUAGCCAAACUACGCACAUCUCCAGUCUAUAAAUGCGGACUGCUAUAAGUUGAAAUAUCCUAAAUCGUCUUUGCGAGUCUCCUUUUCUUAGCUGUUCAUAAUCGUGGAUUUCCACUCAUGCAUCUCACGUUAUCCCCUUGGAAGGAAUUCACUAAAAUGUUCAUGGUAUAUUCACUACACUUGGGUGCACACCAAGUCAACAUUUAUUAGAUGUUUCUGAAUAUGAUUAUUUCAAUAGAUAUUUUUGGCAUUGUUUUUUAAUUAAAGAAAUUGUUUUUGUAUCCUAUCCUAUUCUAACUGUCCCAGCUUGCCCCUCAAGGAGUGUAAUCUCUUCCUUCUUCAGGUCUUGAUGGCUUCUGUACCUCUCUUAG